GUCGAACGCGAAAGUUUCCUUCGGGAAACGAGUAGAGUGGCGCACGGGUGAGUAACACGUAGGUAAUCUACCUUUGGAUGGGGAAUAACAACCGGAAACGGUUGCUAAUACCGCAUAAUGCAGCGGCACCUAAUGGUGACAGUUGUUAAAGCGGGGGAUCGAAAGACCUCGCGUCUGAAGAGGAGCCUGCGGCGGAUUAGCUAGUUGGUAGGGUAACGGCCUACCAAGGCUACGAUCCGUAGCCGGCCUGAGAGGGCGGUCGGCCACACUGACACUGACAUACGGGUCAGACUCCUACGGGAGGCAGCAGUCGGGAAUUUUGGGCAAUGGGCGAAAGCCUGACCCAGCAACGCCGCGUGAAGGAUGAAAUCCCUCGGGAUGUAAACUUCGCAAGAACGGGAAGAAUAAGUAGGGGACAAUACCCCCUAUGAUGACGGUACCGUUUGUAAGCUCCGGCUAACUCCGUGCCAGCAGCCGCGGUAAUACGGGGGGAGCAAGCGUUGUUCGGAUUUACUGGGCGUAAAGGGCGCGUAGGCGGUCAGCACAAGUCAGUUGUGAAAUCUCCGAGCUUAACUCGGAAAGGUCAACUGAUACUGUGCGACUAGAGUGCGGAAGGGGCAACUGGAAUUCUUGGUGUAGCGGUGAAAUGCGUAGAUAUCAAGAGGAACACCUGCGGCGAAGGCGGGUUGCUGGGCCGACACUGACGCUGAGGCGCGAAAGCUAGGGGAGCGAACGGGAUUAGAUACCCCGGUAGUCCUAGCCUUAAACGAUGAAUGCUUGGUGUCCGGGGUUAUAAAGUCCCCGGGUGCCGUC
This 813-nucleotide ribosomal RNA is filed under the name uncultured Actinomycetes bacterium. RNAcentral describes it as "bacterial SSU rRNA". It matches the Rfam family "Bacterial small subunit ribosomal RNA", at positions 61 to 850 of the family's 1533-position model. The record is from RNAcentral. Lineage: Bacteria; Bacillati; Actinomycetota; Actinomycetes.